Molecule: long non-coding RNA, 598 nt
Organism: Rhinichthys klamathensis goyatoka
Lineage: Eukaryota; Metazoa; Chordata; Actinopteri; Cypriniformes; Leuciscidae
Exons: 5
Source: RefSeq, a predicted model, not a curated record
GAGGUUGUGUUAAAUUCUUAAACUAAGUGCCACUUUGUCCCACUAUCACCUGCUGCAGGGGUGGCAUUUUGCACGUUAAUGGGUCAUAGAACUAUACACAAUGAGUUUUAAAUUCAUGAUUUAAUAUUAAUGAUAUUUUAAAUUAUGUUAUAUGUUUUAAUUCUAGAUGUUUAUUUAUAUGCUGCGUGCCUUUGGAGUGUUUUAAUGCGCGUGCGCGUAAACAUUCGAGUCGCAUUUAAAGACUGGAGCGCGCGCGAGAGCAGAUGGAAACGAGGAAACGUCAUCAACUGACAAACAGCAAAACUAGCGUUUCUUGCUGUUGUUUUCACUGCUUUUAGAAAUGGUUUUGUGUCUUCGAAAAAGUCCGUUAGCAUCUCAACCGUUUUCAGAAGAGAUCAUCAUGUUGAUGGCCUGCUGCACCCCCUGUCCAAGACAAUCUCCACGGCUAUGAACCAUAUGAUUAGUCUGUCUUGAAUUAUGUUGGCCAAUGAGACAGACACCAUACUGUCCAACUCAAAGAUGAGGUAUAAUCCCUAGCGUUUGGACCUGUGAUUCUUCAGGACAAGAUCUUGAUGCCAUCCACACUCAGUACAUGAAG